ACGCACGCUGGCGGCGUGCCUAAUACAUGCCAGUCGAACGCUUCUUUCCUCCCGAGUGCUUGCACUCAAUUGGAAAGAGGAGUGGCGGACGGGUGAGUAACACGUGGGUAACCUACCCAUCAGAGGGGGAUAACACUUGGAAACAGGUGCUAAUACCGCAUAACAGUUUAUGCCGCAUGGCAUAAGAGUGAAAGGCGCUUUCGGGUGUCGCUGAUGGAUGGACCCGCGGUGCAUUAGCUAGUUGGUGAGGUAACGGCUCACCAAGGCCACGAUGCAUAGCCGACCUGAGAGGGUGAUCGGCCACACUGGGACUGAGACACGGCCCAGACUCCUACGGGAGGCAGCAGUAGGGAAUCUUCGGCAAUGGACGAAAGUCUGACCGAGCAACGCCGCGUGAGUGAAGAAGGUUUUCGGAUCGUAAAACUCUGUUGUUAGAGAAGAACAAGGACGUUAGUAACUGAACGUCCCCUGACGGUAUCUAACCAGAAAGCCACGGCUAACUACGUG
RNAcentral lists this ribosomal RNA (507 nucleotides) under uncultured bacterium. RNAcentral describes it as "partial 16S ribosomal RNA". It matches the Rfam family "Bacterial small subunit ribosomal RNA", at positions 29 to 507 of the family's 1533-position model. The record is from RNAcentral.